RNAcentral lists this ribosomal RNA (264 nucleotides) under uncultured bacterium. Its description in RNAcentral is "partial 16S ribosomal RNA". It matches the Rfam family "Bacterial small subunit ribosomal RNA", at positions 793 to 1055 of the family's 1533-position model. The record is from RNAcentral.
GUCCACGCCGUAAACGAUGAAUGCUAGGUGUUAGGGGUUUCGAUACCCUUGGUGCCGAAGUUAACACAUUAAGCAUUCCGCCUGGGGAGUACGGUCGCAAGACUGAAACUCAAAGGAAUUGACGGGGACCCGCACAAGCAGUGGAGUAUGUGGUUUAAUUCGAAGCAACGCGAAGAACCUUACCAGGUCUUGACAUCCCUCUGACCGGUCUAGAGAUAGGCCUUUCCUUCGGGACAGAGGAGACAGGUGGUGCAUGGUUGUCGU